AGCUUUGUGCAGUGGGUAUAUCAUAGCCAAUGAAGUUUAUCCAAGGCACGAUUAUUGCUAAUUGAAAAUACAUACAAAAGAUAUAUUCCUUUUUUAAAUAUCUGAAUUAAUGUCAAUCAAAAUU
This 124-nucleotide small nuclear RNA is filed under the name Lynx canadensis (Canada lynx). RNAcentral describes it as "U4 spliceosomal RNA (ENSLCNG00005002990.1)". It matches the Rfam family "U4 spliceosomal RNA". Rfam says of the family: U4 small nuclear RNA (U4 snRNA) is a component of the major U2-dependent spliceosome. The structure of U4 snRNA from yeast and human has been reported. Lineage: Eukaryota; Metazoa; Chordata; Mammalia; Carnivora; Felidae. The record is from RNAcentral.